Molecule: transfer RNA, 69 nt
Filed under: Chalcophana sp. N69
Lineage: Eukaryota; Metazoa; Arthropoda; Insecta; Coleoptera; Chrysomelidae
Description: tRNA-Met
Source: RNAcentral
AAAAAAAAGGUAAGCUAAUAAAGCUAGUGGGUUCAUACCCCAAAUAUGAAGAUUGACCUUCCCUUUUUA